This 73-nucleotide transfer RNA is filed under the name Zea mays. It matches the Rfam family "tRNA". From Rfam's summary of the family: Transfer RNA (tRNA) molecules are approximately 80 nucleotides in length. Lineage: Eukaryota; Viridiplantae; Streptophyta; Magnoliopsida; Poales; Poaceae. The record is from Rfam by way of RNAcentral.
GCACAUCUAGCUCAGUCGGUAGAGCGCAAUGCUUUUAACUUUAAGGUUGUGGGUUUGAGCUCCACUGUGGGCA